RNAcentral lists this ribosomal RNA (253 nucleotides) under uncultured bacterium. Its description in RNAcentral is "partial 16S ribosomal RNA". It matches the Rfam family "Bacterial small subunit ribosomal RNA", at positions 524 to 776 of the family's 1533-position model. The record is from RNAcentral.
UACGUAGGGUGCAAGCGUUAAUCGGAAUUACUGGGCGUAAAGCGUGCGCAGGCGGUUCUGUAAGACAGGGGUGAAAUCCCAGGGCUUAACCUUGGAACUGCAUUUGUGACUGCAUAGCUAGAGUACGGUAGAGGGGGAUGGAAUUCCGCGUGUAGCAGUGAAAUGCGUAGAUAUGCGGAGGAACACCGAUGGCGAAGGCAAUCCCCUGGACCUGUACUGACGCUCAUGCACGAAAGCGUGGGGAGCAAACAGG